RNAcentral lists this ribosomal RNA (349 nucleotides) under uncultured bacterium. Its description in RNAcentral is "partial 16S ribosomal RNA". It matches the Rfam family "Bacterial small subunit ribosomal RNA", at positions 338 to 698 of the family's 1533-position model. The record is from RNAcentral.
CCUACGGGUGGCAGCAGUCGAGAAUCAUUCACAAUGGGGGAAACCCUGAUGGUGCGACGCCGCGUGGGGGAAUGAAGGUCUUCGGAUUGUAAACUCCUGUCAUAUGGGAGCAAAUUAAAAUGAGAGUACCACAAGAGGAAGAGACGGCUAACUCUGGGCGAGCAGCCGCGGUAAUACAGAGGUCUCAAGCGUGAUUCGGAAUUACUGGGCGUAAAGCGUGCGUAGGCUGUUGCGUAAGUCGGGUGUGAAAGGCGCGGGCUCAACCCGCGGACGGCAAAUGAUACUGCGAGACUAGAGAAAUGGGGGGGGAACCGGAAUUCUCGGUGUAGCAGUGAAAUGCGUAGAUAUC